This is a long non-coding RNA of Perca fluviatilis (European perch), 1855 nucleotides long. RefSeq lists it as uncharacterized. The transcript has 2 exons. NCBI's taxonomy places the organism in Eukaryota, Metazoa, Chordata, Actinopteri, Perciformes, Percidae. The record is from RefSeq and is a predicted model, not a curated record.
UGUGCGUGAGUGCACUAGUUUUACAAGGUACUGUACGCCGUAUAUAUGCAGCCCAAAGAGAAAAUAUUUGUCACUCAACAGCUUUCCCCUGGCAACGAGAGAUCAACAGCUAAAUCAGGACUAAGGACUAGCAAAACAAGUUCGACCACCACAUCAUGGAGAACAACACGUGGCCUGUCAAUGUCUUCCCCUACGGUCGGGAAUCAGCUCUCCUCAUGACAGCAGGUGUUGCAGGAGACCCUUACUUAGCUGCAGGACUGCUCCUAGGUUCUGUCUUGCUGGGGCUCGUCAGCUACAUCUCGGCCUUCUGAUCCCAACGCAGGAGGCUCAAAGAAGUCAUCAACUCACAACAGCAUAACCUACGCAGGGGUGUUAAAAACAUCCACCUUAGAGCUAUGUUUGGCAUGCUCGUAAAGGAUUUUGGGAAUGCAUUAUUUGCAAUCAUUUUGGCGAUUCUAUUCAUCGAGUUCCCCUCCAGCCCUAGAUUCGACGAUACUAUCUAUUCCCUUUGGUACCUGUUCAGAUGCUAUGGAUUGAUUUACCAUCUCCUUAUUGCCUUGUUUUGCCUCCUUUUUUCAUUCCAUCCACAAUCGGGAGAUAAUCAGCAAGCCGUUUACAUAUUGUUGGUUGUGUCAGUGUAUGCGUUUGUCCCUUUUUCUUUUCUUUUCAGCCAGGUGGCAAUAUUUGGGCUGGGAGCUAUUACCAUUGGAUUGGCUUUGGCCAUCAUUGCAAAGUGUACAGUGUCAAGCGCGUCCCCCUCUGCUGCUGCUCAGAAGAAACCGAUUGUGUUUGUCGCCAUGUUCACAUUCCUAAUUGUCUUCGCCCCCUCUUUUAUUCUUCAGUGCCUGGUGAUCAGUACAGCCAACCGUGGAGAGUAUCUCACCAUUUAUGUAAAUGUUCUGCUUUGCACAAACGUUCAACUCUUGAUGGAUGGACUCCUGUGUUAUUUUAACCUGAAGUUGCUUUCUGAAGAGGGAGAACAACAACAGCGAGAACCGGGGCAGCAGCAACACCAGAGUUUCGAAAACUCAAACUAUAACUCAUAAUUCUGCAAAUGUUCAUUUUGUCUCAGCACCAUGACCAAUUGUAAUAACUUUGCAUCAUAACAAUUGCAACGAUAGAUCACUUGGUAAAGGAUAGUAGCCUAGUUAACAAAAUUUAAACUUUCCCUUUGAGAAUUAAUAAACUAUGUCUACUUCUUAUUCAGGACUUUGGCUUGUCAAUAAAAAAUACUUGACUGCUUAAUAUUCAUGGAGAACAUUUGCAUAGACAAUAUAAUUAUGAAAAAAUCAAUUUCUGUUUCUCAAGUUUGUACAAUUUCCCUACACUGCUGGCUACUGCCAAACAUAAGUAAAUUGUGCAUUUAUUGGGGACCAUAUACAGCUAGAGAUUAAUAAACAUUUGAUUUACUUAUGAGUAUUUGCAGUAGCAGGACGUUGUAGGUCAGGCUGUUCUCCUUCACUGUUUGUACUUAUACCUGCAACAAGUUUUCAUUAGUAUAUAACCCACAUAAUCAUGAACCAGGACAUGCAGGCCUGCCUCAAGGAAGUCAGGCGAUGUAAUAUAAAGAGCGACAAAGUCUGUGUAGGGCGGGAUGGGUCAAACAAACACAGGACUUUCACCUUUUACUUUUGUUAAGUAAGUUACGUAACAAACAUAUUUAUUUGAACACAAAUAAAUAUGUUUGGCACUGCAGAGCUUUACACAGGCUCACUGAUCGCUCGUGUAAAUGAAAAAUUGUGCAUAACUUUUUGUAAGCUGUAUGAGCUAUUGUACAUGGAUAUGUUGUGGAGGUGGGACUCAAAAUAAACUACAGUGCCCAUUUUCACUAUAAUAAAGGAACUGUCACCCAGUG